This 504-nucleotide ribosomal RNA is filed under the name uncultured bacterium. Its description in RNAcentral is "partial 16S ribosomal RNA". It matches the Rfam family "Bacterial small subunit ribosomal RNA", at positions 30 to 523 of the family's 1533-position model. The record is from RNAcentral.
AUUGAACGCUGGCGGCAGGCCUAACACAUGCAAGUCGAACGGUAGCACAGAGAGCUUGCUCUCGGGUGACGAGUGGCGGACGGGUGAGUAAUGUCUGGGAAACUGCCUGAUGGAGGGGGAUAACUACUGGAAACGGUAGCUAAUACCGCAUAACGUCGCAAGACCAAAGAGGGGGACCUUCGGGCCUCUUGCCAUCAGAUGUGCCCAGAUGGGAUUAGCUAGUAGGUGGGGUAACGGCUCACCUAGGCGACGAUCCCUAGCUGGUCUGAGAGGAUGACCAGCCACACUGGAACUGAGACACGGUCCAGACUCCUACGGGAGGCAGCAGUGGGGAAUAUUGCACAAUGGGCGCAAGCCUGAUGCAGCCAUGCCGCGUGUAUGAAGAAGGCCUUCGGGUUGUAAAGUACUUUCAGCGAGGAGGAAGGCGAUACGGUUAAUAACCGUGUCGAUUGACGUUACUCGCAGAAGAAGCACCGGCUAACUCCGUGCCAGCAGCCGCCGUAA